GAUCGUUCGUAGUCACAGUUACAGAUUGAACUUAUUGUUCUACUCUUUUUCCCCCUUCUGACUACUGCACUUGAGUAGUCUGAA
This is an unclassified non-coding RNA of Macaca nemestrina (pig-tailed macaque), 84 nucleotides long. It matches the Rfam family "Y RNA". Rfam says of the family: Y RNAs are components of the Ro ribonucleoprotein particle (Ro RNP), in association with Ro60 and La proteins. Lineage: Eukaryota; Metazoa; Chordata; Mammalia; Primates; Cercopithecidae. The record is from Ensembl.